AGUGAACGCUGGCGGUAGGCCUAACACAUGCAAGUCGAACGGCAGCACAGUAAGAGCUUGCUCUUACGGGUGGCGAGUGGCGGACGGGUGAGGAAUACAUCGGAAUCUACUUUUUCGUGGGGGAUAACGUAGGGAAACUUACGCUAAUACCGCAUACGACCUACGGGUGAAAGCAGUGGAUCUUCGGACCUUGCGCGAUUGAAUGAGCCGAUGUCGGAUUAGCUAGUUUGCGGGGUAAAGGCCCACCAAGGCGACGAUCCGUAGCUGGUCUGAGAGGAUGAUCAGCCACACUGGAACUGAGACACGGUCCAGACUCCUACGGGAGGCAGCAGUGGGGAAUAUUGGACAAUGGGCGCAAGCCUGAUCCAGCCAUACCGCGUGGGUGAAGAAGGCCUUCGGGUUGUAAAGCCCUUUUGUUUGGAAAGAAAAACAGCAGGUUAAUACCCCGCUGUUCUGACGGUACCCAAAGAAUAAGCACCGGCUAACUUCGUG
Molecule: ribosomal RNA, 492 nt
Filed under: uncultured bacterium
Lineage: Bacteria
Description: partial 16S ribosomal RNA
Rfam family: Bacterial small subunit ribosomal RNA
Source: RNAcentral